Prionailurus viverrinus (fishing cat) is the source of this 401-nucleotide long non-coding RNA. RefSeq lists it as uncharacterized. Lineage: Eukaryota; Metazoa; Chordata; Mammalia; Carnivora; Felidae. The transcript is spliced from 4 exons. The record is from RefSeq and is a predicted model, not a curated record.
AUGGCCAAAUUCAACAAGGGUUCUCUCUUGAACUCUCUUGUCGGAUACAAGUGUCCUACAGGAAGGCCUUUGCCGGGGACACUCUGCUUCCUGUUGAUGGUUUUGGCACAUGCAAGGUAGCUGAUGAAGACUUCACACGAGCAGUGACAUCGGACUCUCCAAAAUGAGAAGACAGAGAAGGACCUUUGAAAUUCAUGUGUAAAGUCUGGAGAUAAGUGCAUCUCAGGUCCAGGGAGAGAGAGUCUGACGGUGUACCCUCUGCCUGGAAGUCCAAGCAAGGCUACAAUGCAGGGGAUGGAUAGUUUUCCACAGGAAAAGCUUAUGGCACUUCAGCCACCUCGCUGUAGGAGCAGGCCUUUGCAGCAGAGAGAACAUCCUGGCAGCAACUAUAACAUCUGCCC